GAUAACUGGCUUAUGGCAGCCAAGCGUUCAUAGCGACGUUGCUUUUUGAUCCUUCGAUGUCGGCUCUUCCUAUCAUUGUGAAGCAGAAUUCACCAAGUGUUGGAUUGUUCACCUACCAAUAGGGAACGUGAGCUGAGUUUAGACCGUUGUAAGUGGAC
This 158-nucleotide ribosomal RNA is filed under the name Prunus dulcis (almond). Its description in RNAcentral is "rRNA LSU_rRNA_eukarya". It matches the Rfam family "Eukaryotic large subunit ribosomal RNA", at positions 2825 to 2979 of the family's 3401-position model. Lineage: Eukaryota; Viridiplantae; Streptophyta; Magnoliopsida; Rosales; Rosaceae. The record is from Rfam by way of RNAcentral.